CUCCUACGGGAGGCAGCAGUGGGGAAUAUUGCACAAUGGGCGCAAGCCUGAUGCAGCCAUGCCGCGUGUGUGAAGAAGGCCUUCGGGUUGUAAAGCACUUUCAGUCGUGAGGAAGGUAGUGUAGUUAAUAGCUGCAUUAUUUGACGUUAGCGACAGAAGAAGCACCGGCUAACUCCGUGCCAGCAGCCGCGGUAAUACGGAGGGUGCGAGCGUUAAUCGGAAUUACUGGGCGUAAAGCGCAUGCAGGUGGUUUGUUAAGUCAGAUGUGAAAGCCCGGGGCUCAACCUCGGAAUAGCAUUUGAAACUGGCAGACUAGAGUACUGUAGAGGGGGUAGAAUUUCAGGUGUAGCGGUGAAAUGCGUAGAGAUCUGAAGGAAUACCGGUGGCGAAGGCGGCCCCCUGGACAGAUACUGACACUCAGAUGCGAAAGCGUGGGGAGCAAACAGGAUUAGAUACCCUGGUAG
This 464-nucleotide ribosomal RNA is filed under the name uncultured bacterium. RNAcentral describes it as "bacterial SSU rRNA". It matches the Rfam family "Bacterial small subunit ribosomal RNA", at positions 336 to 793 of the family's 1533-position model. The record is from RNAcentral.